GACGAACGCUGGCGGCGUGCUUAACACAUGCAAGUCGAACGAGAGCGUAGAGAAAGCUUGCUUUUUCUACAAUCUAGUGGCAAACGGGUGAGUAACGCGUAAACAACCUGCCCUACGGAUGGGGACAACAGCUGGAAACGGCUGCUAAUACCGAAUACGUUCCGAAAGUCGCAUGACUAUCGGAAGAAAGGAUGGCCUCUAUUUAUAAGCUAUCGCCGGAGGAGGGGUUUGCGUCUGAUUAGCUAGUUGGAGGGGUAACGGCCCACCAAGGGGACGAUCAGUAGCCGGUCUGAGAGGAUGAACGGCCACAUUGGAACUGAGACACGGUCCAGACUCCUACGGGAGGCAGCAGUGGGGAAUCUUCCGCAAUGGGCGAAAGCCUGACGGAGCAACGCCGCGUGAGUGAAGACGGCCUUCGGGUUGUAAAGCUCUGUUAUACGGGACGAAUAAUCUUGUGGUUAAUACCCAUGAGAAGUGGCGGUACCGUAAGAGAAAGCCACGGCUAACUACGUG
This 513-nucleotide ribosomal RNA is filed under the name uncultured bacterium. RNAcentral's name for it is "partial 16S ribosomal RNA". It matches the Rfam family "Bacterial small subunit ribosomal RNA", at positions 28 to 507 of the family's 1533-position model. The record is from RNAcentral.